CAUGCAAGUCUAAGUACAUGCCGCACUAAGGUGAAACCGCAAAAGGCUCAUUAAAUCAGUUAUGGUUCCUUGGAUCUUAAACAGUUACUUGGAUAACUGUGGUAAUUCUAGAGCUAAUACAUGCAAUCAAGUCCCGGCCAGAGAUGGGAGGGACGCUUUUAUUAGAUCAAAACCGAUCGGCGUCCGGCUCCGGCCGGCGCCGUCUCUUUUGGUGACUCUGGAUAACCUUAAGCCGAUCGCACGGUCACAGUACCGGCGACGCAUCUUUCAAAUGUCUGACUUAUCAACUGUCGAUGGUAGGCUCUGCGCCUACCAUGGUUAUAACGGGUAACGGGGAAUCAGGGUUCGAUUCCGGAGAGGGAGCCUGAGAAACGGCUACCACAUCCAAGGAAGGCAGCAGGCGCGCAAAUUACCCACUCCCGGCACGGGGAGGUAGUGACGAAAAAUAACGAUACGGGACUCAUCCGAGGCCCCGUAAUCGGAAUGAGUACACUUUAAAUACUUUAACGAGUACCAAUUGGAGGGCAAGUCUGGUGCCAGCAGCCGCGGUAAUUCCAGCUCCAAUAGCGUAUAUUAAAGUUGUUGCGGUUAAAAAGCUCGUAGUUGGAUCUGUGUGCCACGCUGUCGGUUCACCGCCUGCGGUGUUAACUGGCAUGUCUGUGGGACGUCCUGCCGGUGGCGGUACGGGCUGCCGGCGCUGCGUAGGGGUUCGCCCCCGAAGCACGCCGGCGUGUCCCGGUCCGCCGAUCCAAUCCCGCCGCGGUGCUCUUCACUGAGUGUCGAGGAGGGCCGGCACGUUUACUUUGAACAAAUUAGAGUGCUCAAAUCAGGUCG
RNAcentral lists this ribosomal RNA (834 nucleotides) under Cryptotympana facialis. RNAcentral's name for it is "SSU rRNA". It matches the Rfam family "Eukaryotic small subunit ribosomal RNA", at positions 50 to 787 of the family's 1831-position model. Lineage: Eukaryota; Metazoa; Arthropoda; Insecta; Hemiptera; Cicadidae. The record is from RNAcentral.